RNAcentral lists this long non-coding RNA (211 nucleotides) under Mytilus galloprovincialis (Mediterranean mussel). Lineage: Eukaryota; Metazoa; Mollusca; Bivalvia; Mytilida; Mytilidae. The record is from RNAcentral.
GUUGGUAAGAAAAAUUGAGCACAUCAAAUGGACCAGAGUGAUACCGUAUUUUUGUUAAUGUCCACUACGAAACGGGUCAAAUCUCCUUCAGUAUCUGGUUUUAAAAUUAUGAAAAAAAAUAUCAGUGUACAGCUUAAUAAAUGCAUUGAUGAAUACAAUCAGUCUUGUUACUAUUGCAAUAUAGGGAUUGUGGGGAAAAAAAUAAAACAUG